CUACCUACGGGAGGCAGCAGUGGGGAAUAUUGCACAAUGGGGGAAACCCUGAUGCAGCGACGCCGCGUGAGUGAAGAAGUAAUUCGUUACGUAAAGCUCUAUCAGCAGGGAAGAGAAUGACGGUACCUGACUAAGAAGCCCCGGCUAACUACGUGCCAGCAGCCGCGGUAAUACGUAGGGGGCAAGCGUUAUCCGGAUUUACUGGGUGUAAAGGGAGCGUAGACGGCAUGGCAAGUCUGAUGUGAAAACCCGGGGCUCAACCCCGGGACUGCAUUGGAAACUGUCAGGCUAGAGUGUCGGAGAGG
This 305-nucleotide ribosomal RNA is filed under the name uncultured bacterium. RNAcentral describes it as "bacterial SSU rRNA". It matches the Rfam family "Bacterial small subunit ribosomal RNA", at positions 335 to 657 of the family's 1533-position model. The record is from RNAcentral.